GGCGGACGGGUGAGUAACACGUGGGUAACCUGCCUGUAAGACUGGGAUAACUCCGGGAAACCGGAGCUAAUACCGGAUAGUUCCUUGAACCGCAUGGUUCAAGGAUGAAAGACGGUUUCGGCUGUCACUUACAGAUGGACCCGCGGCGCAUUAGCUAGUUGGUGAGGUAACGGCUCACCAAGGCGACGAUGCGUAGCCGACCUGAGAGGGUGAUCGGCCACACUGGGACUGAGACACGGCCCAGACUCCUACGGGAGGCAGCAGUAGGGAAUCUUCCGCAAUGGACGAAAGUCUGACGGAGCAACGCCGCGUGAGUGAUGAAGGUUUUCGGAUCGUAAAGCUCUGUUGUUAGGGAAGAACAAGUGCAAGAGUAACUGCUUGCACCUUGACGGUACCUAACCAGAAAGCCACGGCUAACUACGUGCCAGCAGCCGCGGUAAUACGUAGGUGGCAAGCGUUGUCCGGAAUUAUUGGGCGUAAAGGGCUCGCAGGCGGUUUCUUAAGUCUGAU
RNAcentral lists this ribosomal RNA (510 nucleotides) under Bacillus sp. SCAUE9018. RNAcentral's name for it is "bacterial SSU rRNA". It matches the Rfam family "Bacterial small subunit ribosomal RNA", at positions 97 to 593 of the family's 1533-position model. Lineage: Bacteria; Bacillati; Bacillota; Bacilli; Caryophanales; Bacillaceae. The record is from RNAcentral.